This 492-nucleotide ribosomal RNA is filed under the name uncultured bacterium. RNAcentral's name for it is "partial 16S ribosomal RNA". It matches the Rfam family "Bacterial small subunit ribosomal RNA", at positions 29 to 507 of the family's 1533-position model. The record is from RNAcentral.
AGUGAACGCUGGCGGUAGGCCUAACACAUGCAAGUCGAACGGCAGCACAGUAAGAGCUUGCUCUUACGGGUGGCGAGUGGCGGACGGGUGAGGAAUACAUCGGAAUCUACUUUUUCGUGGGGGAUAACGUAGGGAAACUUACGCUAAUACCGCAUACGACCUACGGGUGAAAGCAGGGGAUCUUCGGACCUUGCGCGAUUGCAUGAGCCGAUGUCGGAUUAGCUAGUUGGCGGGGUAAAGGCCCACCAAGGCGACGAUCCGUAGCUGGUCUGAGAGGAUGAUCAGCCACACUGGAACUGAGACACGGUCCAGACUCCUACGGGAGGCAGAAGUGGGGAAUAUUGGACAAUGGGGGCAAGACUGAUCCAGCCAUACCGCGUGGGUGAAGAAGGCCUUCGGGUGGUAAAGCCCUUUUGUGGGGAAAGAAAAGCAGCAGGUUAAUACCCCGCUGUUCUGACGGUACCCAAAGAAUAAGCACCGGCUAACUUCGUG